Molecule: long non-coding RNA, 3457 nt
Filed under: Homo sapiens (human)
Lineage: Eukaryota; Metazoa; Chordata; Mammalia; Primates; Hominidae
Description: HSALNT0022442
Source: RNAcentral
UCAGAUAAUUGAUGACCCUAUGCAACUGUUAAAAAAAUGUGGGCAUCCCUUUGGACUAGUCUGGAUUCCUGAUGCUGAGGAAAUCGACCACACGAACAGCUUCUGGAAUUUAACCAGAUCCACAAGGGUGAAGAGAGGGCAAGAGAUCAUCUUAGAGAAAUUUUAAACUAUUCUAUUGUCUUUUGUUCUGCUUCAUGAGAAAGACUAGAUUGUGAAAUUCAUCCCAUUUCUAAUUCCCACCCAGGGAAUAAAAGAGAGAAUAUUCAUUUCCUUUUAAUAUCAGCUUAAGCAAAGAAAAUGCAGUUACACCAAGGAAAGAUGAUGGGAGAGUCACAGAUGAUUCAUAAUUGACUCCAAAUUUCAUUCCUGAACAUAUCUGCUCUCAUUAAUAGUUAAGACAGAAAAACAAAUAAAAUAUAAGAAGCUCCAAUCGAGUAGAGCCUCCUUGAUUCUUGCUAUCUGCAGUGCACUGCAUGUGACACUGGCCAUUUAAAUCAUUAUAGUCCUCACAUGCCAUUUUUCAAACAGAAGACCUAGCUUCUUAUCAUUGUUUUAAGUCAGUUAUGACCCAAGCUUUCCCCAUAUACAAUUAGCAGCUUGAAAGGUGGUACCAAAUCUUAUAUAUCUUUAUAUUUCUAGUGUGUGGUAUUAGUGCCUUGAACAUGGUAGGUGCUCAGUAAACGUGGUUAAAUUGAAUAAACGUAGUGAAAAUGUGGGUAGGGGGAUCCCAAUGGAGCUAAUACCUACUGAGCCCCUGAUACUUUUUCCAAACUAUCUCAUUUAUUAAUUACAAGAACUCUAUGCAAUAAGUCUUAUCACCUCCAUUUUACAGGUGAGGAAACAGGACCAGAGAGAUGAGUACAAUCAGCCCAACUAGUUAGUAGCAAGGCUGGUAUUGAAAGUGGAUGGGUUUGACUGACAAAAUCAAUUGACCUCCCCAACUGCAAGACGAUCUGAACAGAAACAAUUGUGCAUCUCAGAGCAAGCUUGGCCCAAGACUACUCAGUCUCUGGAUGUGUUGCCCGUGGAGCUUGGACGAGAAGGCACAGAAGCAGGAAUCUUGCUCAGAAGGUAGAAAUUAAUUCAUGUCAUCAAAAGAGAAACCAUAAGGAAUAGACUUUUCCUCAAUCCCUGCUUCCCUUUUCCUUUCCCACUAAGUUUUAAUAUUUUUGUUAAAAAAGAAAAGCUGAAAACACAAGUCCUACAGCAAUAUUUUCAACAGAAUUAUCCUUUAAUGUGAAGGAACAGUCUUCUCUCUCUGUUUCUGCUAAUUGGACUAGUAGCUUUUCCUUAAAAAUCCAACCAAUUUCACAAGACUUUAGAGGUAUGUUUCCAACUGUCUAGUGGCCUUUUUUAAAAUGACUUCAUAGUAGGCAUAAAGCCUCAAAUAAAAGAAGAAAACACUCAAAGGAAAAUCUUAUUUCAUAAAUUAAUGUACCAUCUCAGAGUCUUAGAGGCAAGAAAUGUGUAUUGAAUUACUUGUUCUUGGAUAAAGAGCCUUGAAAUGCCCACUAUGUGCCCCAUCAUAAAGACACUGUAUUUGUAAGCUUCCACAGUGUGUUGUCUCACUAAUAGAUGUACCUAAAAGAUAUAUAUUGGGAAGGCAGCUAACCAUGAAAAUUUGCUAUAGCCUAAUAAGUAAAGGUAUCAUGCUAGGCUAGAAGUAUAGUAAUAACUGGUAACAUGAUUCGAAAUAAAAUUGGCAUUAGUCAUUCAAGAAAUAGAAAACUGUAACUUAGUUUAGCAAAGAUUUAAAAAGCAGUGCUAGUUCACUCUCUCCCUGCUUUCUCAUGCAUUUCCCUCCUUUCUCCUUCCAUAAGAAAUGACUAAUCUUUAAUAUGAGGUCAACAACAUAGGAAGUCCUUGGGUGGAGAGAACAUGGUAAAAUAACAAGCAAGCAAAGCCACACAUGGACAAAUGCCAGAUAAUGUAACAGCCACUUUCUAGAUGUGAGCCGAGGGGUAUGGAGUCCAGUCAAUUUAAAAGAAACAAAACUGAUAUAAUCAUUGAGAGUAAUCAGGCUACGUGCAGUCAAAGUAACUUGAAGGAAGUAGUAGAUGUGGGUUGGUGCCAAAGAGUGACAAGGCUGUGCAGUUGGAGGAAAGAGCAGCCAUUAAUAGGCAUAUAUUGUUUGAAAGAUACUGCUGGGGAUGUUCAUUCACAGUUGUGAAGAUAACAAACAUUCUUAAUAUCCAGUAAUAUAUUUUAGCAAACAGAACAUAUAUUCACAGGAUGAUAUAUUAUGUGAUUAUUUAAAAUGAUCAGGAAUACUAAGUAAUGACUUAAGAAGAAACUUUUGAUAUCAUGUUAAGCAACAAGAGUAAUUACAAAGUUGUACGUAUGGUACAUCUACAACUACAUUAAAAAUGCCUCGAAAAAAUGUGUUAAGAAAUAAACCAAAAUAUUUACACUGGAAAUAAGUUUUUCUUUUCAAAAUCAUGUUUAAUGGCACAUACUAUAUUUAUAAUAAAAACUUUGGAGAAGCACAGGCUGCUCAAGAGAGUGGGUUGCUCAUAAUAUUCUUCUCCUAAAAGAUCUCCAGCAUAACCUCUCUCUAGGUUUCAAUCUCUCCAUUUGGGAAAUUUGAUGCUUACUCAUAACAACUUCGCUGCCUGGCUGUCAGGGUAAAUUGAGAUGAGCAAAGCAGCACAUAUAAUCGUACCUUGUUUACUUAAGAGUCUGAGAACUCACUCCCAACAUACAUUUGUAAUACAUGUUCAAUUAUGCUUCUGCCUUCUGUCUCAUGAUAAAAAUAACUUUGAACAAAUUUUCAGUUUAAAGUUGAAUCAUUGCUAAUUAGUUCUUCUUCAACCUCUACACUCUAAAAUUGGACUUAACUAUUUGUAAUGAUUACCAGCAACGUCUAUAGAAACUUAGUCAAAGACUACCAUUGACAUGAUCCAACAGAGACAUGAAGGAACAUUGUUAGGAUGGUGGAUCUAUUUCUCAGACGUCUAACUUUUAAGUUUCUUGAGAUUACAAACAAUAUUUUUGAGCCACUUUCUAAGUUAGGCCUCUUGGAAGUACAAAUAACAAGAGCCGCUCUAGCCAAGCUUAAGCAAUAAAAGGGAAAAAAUAGUAUCGUGAGGAUUUAAUAACAGCUUAGAGAAAACAAGAAAAACUAAGCAUGCUCUUAGGAAAGGGAUGACAACCAGAAACUGAAAAGUUGUAAGAAAUCCAGGCAGACCUCUGUACACCUUUCAGCUCUGUUCUUUCAGAAGAUGUUUCAUCUUUUUUUCUCCCACAUGCCAUAGACACCAACAACUUCCAAAUUUAAGUAGUACACAUCCAGCUACCCAGAGAGAAAUUGACCUGUCCUCUCGUUUCUAAUUCCAAAUUCCUGGAGAUACCACUCUAAAGAGCUCAGCUUGUUCAAUCCCCCAGUGAACAGUUAGGAUAAUGGCCUCCAGUUCCAACCACACUGCUGCAAAGGAUGUGAUUUCAUUCUUCUUUAUGG